RNAcentral lists this ribosomal RNA (484 nucleotides) under uncultured bacterium. RNAcentral's name for it is "partial 16S ribosomal RNA". It matches the Rfam family "Bacterial small subunit ribosomal RNA", at positions 29 to 507 of the family's 1533-position model. The record is from RNAcentral.
AUUGAACGCUGGCGGCAUGCUUUACACAUGCAAGUCGAACGGCAGCGCGGGCUUCGGCCUGGCGGCGAGUGGCGAACGGGUGAGUAAUGCAUCGGAACGUGCCCAGUAGUGGGGGAUAGCCCGGCGAAAGCCGGAUUAAUACCGCAUACAACCUGAGGGUGAAAGCGGGGGACCGAAAGGCCUCGCGCUAUUGGAGCGGCCGAUGUCUGAUUAGCUAGUUGGUGGGGUAAAGGCUUACCAAGGCGACGAUCCGUAGCUGGUCUGAGAGGACGACCAGCCACACUGGGACUGAGACACGGCCCAGACUCCUACGGGAGGCAGCAGUGGGGAAUUUUGGACAAUGGGGGCAACCCUGAUCCAGCCAUGCCGCGUGCGGGAAGAAGGCCUUCGGGUUGUAAACCGCUUUUGUUCGGGAAGAAAUCCUCUGGGCUAAUACCCCGGGGGGAUGACGGUACCGGAAGAAUAAGCACCGGCUAACUACGUG